This 69-nucleotide transfer RNA is filed under the name Cavia porcellus (domestic guinea pig). It matches the Rfam family "tRNA". Rfam says of the family: Transfer RNA (tRNA) molecules are approximately 80 nucleotides in length. The record is from Rfam by way of RNAcentral. Lineage: Eukaryota; Metazoa; Chordata; Mammalia; Rodentia; Caviidae.
GGGAAUAUAGCUCAGUGGCAUAGCACCUAUCUGGCAAAUGUGAGGUUCUGAGUUCAAAUCUCAGUACCA